CAACAUUGUCAAUGGGGGAGGGGGGAAAUGGUAAGAAUUCUGAUUGACUUAGAGCGAAAAUGCCAACAAAUGCAUUGAUUGGUCGAGAGCGAAACUCUCCCCCCCCUUGUUGUAAAAUAUAGGAUAGUUCCAUAACAUCGUCAAAACACGAAGUUAAUUAAGAAGGGUCAAACUUAAAUAUACCUCGUUUGUUGAAAAGUGUAACGAGUCACCUCAAUUAGACAUGGAAUUAUUGAGGCUUUAAGUUUUAAUCACAUAGAUGGAAAAAUUACCGAAAUAUGAUUGGCCAAUGAUGAGGUCAUUUUUUCUUAAUUCAGGACAAAAUUACUUGAUUGGCUGAGACGCAAGCGCAGAAGUUCCUUAUUUUAAAUAGCAAUAAAAACAAUGGCUUCUCGCUUUGUCGUUGCGGAUAAUGAUAUUAUUAAAGAAUUAAAAACAUCUAGUGAAAACUCGAACACUAAAAAAGUACAAAUAUAUGGGUUGUAGUUAUUAAGAAAUGGGCAGCAUUAUUGCAUUAGGAACACCGGCGAAGACACGGAACAUACGAGGUUCAAGAACUUGACAAGUUCACAAUUACUUAUACCAAUAAAUUUCGCCCUCUACAGGGUGUAUAAAAAACUGAACACAUUUGAAAUUGCUCUUAAUUUCGCAAAACAACUCGUGGUAUCAAGUUUUUGUUAGAUAUAGAUUCUUGGAUACCCAUAAUGUAGAAUAAUGAAAAAAAUACUCGAACACAAAU
Molecule: non-coding RNA, 739 nt
Organism: Paramuricea clavata
Lineage: Eukaryota; Metazoa; Cnidaria; Anthozoa; Malacalcyonacea; Plexauridae
Source: the annotation of a GenBank genome assembly